UGGGGAAUAUUGGACAAUGGGGGGAACCCUGAUCCAGCAAUGCCGCGUGUGUGAAGAAGGCCUGAGGGUUGUAAAGCACUUUUGUUGUGGAAGAGGGUUUACAGGUUAAGAGCUAGUGAACUGGACGGUACAUAACGAAUAAGCACCGGCUAACUCCGUGCCAGCAGCCGCGGUAAUACGGGGGGUGCAAGCGUUAAUCGGAAUUAUUGGGCGUAAAGGGUGCGUAGGUGGUUUAAUAAGUUAGCUGUGAAAUACCUGGGCUCAACUUGGGGAGGUCAGCUAAUACUAUUAGACUAGAGUAUGGGAGAGGGCAGAGGAAUUUCCGGUGUAGCGGUGAAAUGCGUAGAGAUCGGAAGGAACACCGGUGGCGAAGGCGACUGCCUGGCCUAAUACUGACACU
RNAcentral lists this ribosomal RNA (400 nucleotides) under uncultured bacterium. Its description in RNAcentral is "partial 16S ribosomal RNA". It matches the Rfam family "Bacterial small subunit ribosomal RNA", at positions 355 to 747 of the family's 1533-position model. The record is from RNAcentral.